Oncorhynchus gorbuscha (pink salmon) is the source of this 1678-nucleotide long non-coding RNA. RefSeq lists it as uncharacterized. The transcript is spliced from 3 exons. The record is from RefSeq and is a predicted model, not a curated record. NCBI's taxonomy places the organism in Eukaryota, Metazoa, Chordata, Actinopteri, Salmoniformes, Salmonidae.
UGUCGUUCUCUGGUGAAUUGUUUGUUUGGUGAUAGCACUGGCUUCGUAAUCGAAAUUAUAGUACUUGUCAUGGAAACAUGUUUGUGCUGUUCGCUCAUCUAACAAGACGAACCGUUUGCAAGUGAAGUGCGCGAGCGUCAAGAUAGCGGGGUGCAGGUGCACGUUAGCAAGCUACUGCAGUAUAUAACUGACCUAGACAGUGUAUGUCAGCAACAUGUCAUUCACCAGCCUUUUUUCAAGUCUUCCAAACAAAGAAUUUGACACGGCGCCUUGUGAGCCGAGAGAGAGGUAAGCUACUAUAAUACAAGUAGUCAUUAUUUCUACUGUGUCUCUUUUACUAUGCUGGAUUAAUGUAACUAGUUAACUAACAUAGUCAUGUGUUUCAGCUUUGAAUUGGAGUACAUAGCCAACUGUGACAAUUGAUUGUAUCCAAUAUUUCUCAGAUUUCAAAGGGAUGAAAGGCAACUGGAACCAGUUAAACUGGAGGUGAAGAAAGUCCAGAAAGUGGCCAUUGCAAAGGUGUCAGAGUGGCCCCAGGAAGAGGAAAAAGGGGGACCAACCGGUGAAUGUGUCAUGUACUAAACAGAUGCUGAAUAGGCAAAUUCAGGAUGGAGAAGUUUUUUUGCUAAACAUUGACAUAAGCCUAACUAACAUAUGCCUAUCUUGCGUUUGUGCAGUGCUUUGUACUACUAGGCGAAUUGCAUACCACAUACCUGUAGAUCAGGCCUCCCCAAACCUGUUCCUGGAGCGAUACUCUCCUGUAGGUUUUCGCUCCUAUCCCAGUUGUAACCAACCUGAUUCAGUUUAUCAACCAGAUAAUUAUUAGAUUGAGCUGCGCCAGAUUACGGUUGAGGUGACAACCUACAGGACGGUAGCUCUCCAGGAACGUGGUGGCGAGCCCUACUGUAGAUUAAAAAGUUGGUAUAGAAAUAGGCCACAAACAUUACCAUUUGGUAUUGCCCCUUUUGAUUUUGUGUUAUAACGUUACCCUUUUUGUAUUUUUCUACAGGAGCAGUGUGGUCAGGCCAAGAAAAGUAAGCUCCAUAAAUGCCCAUCACAAUCUUAUAAAGAGUUUGACUCUGUGGCCCGAGACUACAACAUAGUGAAGUGUGAUUUCGAGCAACCAGGCUUUGACUUCAGUAGAGACCUGGACUUCUACAGUGAUAGCAAGGAGGGUGCAUCCCCAGGUCAUGCUACAGAGAAGGAUCCUGAUCAGAUCAAGGAUGUUCAAGGUGUAAACGAGAAGAAAGGACGGGAGCAGAAGAAGCAGCGACGGGAGCCCCAGCAGCAGAGACUUGACAACCAGGCCAGAGGCAGAGGGGCAAACUCUGCCAGGAGGGGUGGGGAUUUUACCGGAAUGGGUGGACGCGGAACUAACCAGCCCAGAGACUUCUCCAACAGGGGCGGCGGUGGUUCCAACAGGGGCGCCGAGUGGAGCAAUAGAGGCCAGGGCUGUGACAAGAGGGGCGGUUUUCUCAGAAGAGGUGAUUGGUCAAAGCGAGGCACUGACCGGUCACUUAGAGGUGGACGACAGUUCCCAAAUGAUCUGAUUCCAACAUCUUCCAGGAAACUUUGACCGGAAAGGGGUAGAAGAACAUGACAAAGGAAUUCAAAGACCAGAAUGCUUUGGAGAUUGACGGCAGGUUAAUCUGUCGACAUUUCCUCAGGGGAAAGUGCA